Molecule: ribosomal RNA, 433 nt
Filed under: uncultured bacterium
Lineage: Bacteria
Description: partial 16S ribosomal RNA
Rfam family: Bacterial small subunit ribosomal RNA
Source: RNAcentral
AACGAACGCUGGCGGCAUGCCUAACACAUGCAAGUCGAACGAGACCUUCGGGUCUAGUUGCGCACGGGUGCGUAACGCGUGGUAACCUGCCCUUAGGUUCGGAAUAACUCCCCGAAAGGGGUGCUAAUACCGGAUAAUGUCUUCGGACCAAAGAUUUAUCGCCUUUGGAUGGGCCCGCGUUGGAUUAGCUAGUUGGUAGGGUAAAAGCCUACCAAGGCGACGAUCCAUAGCUGGUCUGAGAGGAUGAUCAGCCACUCUGGGACUGAGACACGGCCCAGACUCCUACGGGAGGCAGCAGUGGGGAAUAUUGGACGAGGGGCGGGAGCGUAAUCCAGCAAUGCCGCGUGAGUGAUGAAGGCAUUAGGGUUGUAAAGCUCUUUUACCCGGGAUGAUAAUGACAGUACCGGGAGAAUAAGCUCCGGCUAACUCCGUG